This is a long non-coding RNA of Podarcis raffonei (Aeolian wall lizard), 716 nucleotides long. RefSeq lists it as uncharacterized. The transcript has 4 exons. The record is from RefSeq and is a predicted model, not a curated record. NCBI's taxonomy places the organism in Eukaryota, Metazoa, Chordata, Lepidosauria, Squamata, Lacertidae.
AUGGACUUUUCCGGCGCGAGACACCUUUGGAGAGGGGCAGGGCGGGUGCUGAGCUGCGGUUUUCUCCCAUCGUGGCUUCGGGCAGAACUGAAUAUCGAAGUUUCUCAGAGGUCUUAUCUCUCCAUCCCUCACUUCGAUGUCUCAGAACAGGCAACAUUCUGCUAGAAACCAUUCUGUCACAGAUCUUCACCAUUUCCCCCUCUGCCUAGGAAAAGGAAAGUACAGACUCAAGCUUGAUUAAGAGUCAAAUACUUGAACAGAAGCAAAGUGUGACGAUGACCCUCUGGUUUCUGUACAUGCUCAGAGUUCUUCACUACUGCAGUUUGUAUGCAACUGUCAAGAAAACAAAAACCAGCUAAGGCAGGAGGAGGAAUCGAAGGAAAUAAGCAUAAACGAAAAGGUGUAAUCUUGAACAAACAUCUGAACCCUGUGCAAAAUUUUGCUCCCCUAGUCUAAUGCCUUCAUCUGCCUCAGCUGCAGCAAAACUUGUCUCUCUGGUAUCACUCUCUACAGCCACAGUAGCUGCGAUAACUCUCCAACAGUUUGACUUCAACCCCGAAGGUGCAAUCCUCCAUUGUUUCCUGAGACAGACAGAUGCCAACCAGUCUUUAGAAUAGAGGUGUAUGUACGUGCUUAAUGAUCAUUUGCUGCCUGCAUAUUUGCAGCAAUUGUACUUUCUGUUUUCAUGUCCAUGUAAUAAACUGAACUUUACUGCU